GACGAACGCUGGCGGCGCGCCUAACACAUGCAAGUCGAACGAGCGAGAGAGAGCUUGCUUUCUCGAGCGAGUGGCGAACGGGUGAGUAACGCGUGAGGAACCUGCCUCAAAGAGGGGGACAACAGUUGGAAACGACUGCUAAUACCGCAUAAGCCCACGGUGCCGCAUGGCACAGAGGGAAAAGGAGUAAUCCGCUUUGAGAUGGCCUCGCGUCCGAUUAGCUAGUUGGUGAGGUAACGGCCCACCAAGGCGACGAUCGGUAGCCGGACUGAGAGGUUGAACGGCCACAUUGGGACUGAGACACGGCCCAGACUCCUACGGGAGGCAGCAGUGGGGAAUAUUGCACAAUGGGGGAAACCCUGAUGCAGCGACGCCGCGUGGAGGAAGAAGGUCUUCGGAUUGUAAACUCCUGUUGUUGGGGAAGAUAAUGACGGUACCCAACAAGGAAGUGACGGCUAACUACGUGCCAGCAGCCGCGGU
Molecule: ribosomal RNA, 480 nt
Filed under: uncultured bacterium
Lineage: Bacteria
Description: bacterial SSU rRNA
Rfam family: Bacterial small subunit ribosomal RNA
Source: RNAcentral